This 97-nucleotide ribosomal RNA is filed under the name uncultured bacterium. RNAcentral's name for it is "partial 16S ribosomal RNA". It matches the Rfam family "Bacterial small subunit ribosomal RNA", at positions 1386 to 1482 of the family's 1533-position model. The record is from RNAcentral.
CACACCGCCCGUCACACCAUGGGAGUUGGUUUGACCUGAAGACGGUGCGCUAACCGCAAGGAGGCAGCCGGCCACGGUCAGGUCAGCGACUGGGGUG